Molecule: non-coding RNA, 206 nt
Filed under: Eremococcus coleocola
Lineage: Bacteria; Bacillati; Bacillota; Bacilli; Lactobacillales; Aerococcaceae
Description: T-box sequence
Rfam family: T-box leader
About the family: Uncharged tRNA acts as the effector for transcription antitermination of genes in the T-box leader family.
Source: RNAcentral
AUAAAUAAAGGGAUUAGAACUAGUAAACUUUAGACUUCUGUAGAGAGCUUAUGGUCGGUGCAAAUAAGUGAAGUUAUCCGUUGAACUCAUCUAAUAAAACCUGGUGCUGCCAAGCCUUGCUAACAGCACUCGUCUGACCGCGUUAAGGCAUAGAGGUGCGCUUGGCGCACAAAAAUAGGUGGUACCGCGUUUUCAACGUCCUAUAU